CCCUUAGAUGUUCUGGGCUGCACGCGCGCUACACUGAUGCGCUCAACGAGUUUUAACCUUGCCUGGAAAGGUUGGGUAAUCUUUUUAAAACGCAUCGUGAUGGGGAUAGAUUAUUGCAAUUAUUAAUCUUCAACGAGGAAUUCCUAGUAAGCGCGAGUCAUCAGCUCGUGCUGAUUACGUCCCUGCGCUUUGUACACACCGCCCGUCGCUCCUACCGAUUGAGUGAUCCGGUGGAUAAUUCGGACUGCGGCAUUGACCGGUUCCCGAUCGUUGCUGCGGAAAGUUUAGUGAACCUUAUCACUUAGAGGAAGGAGAAGUCGUAACA
RNAcentral lists this ribosomal RNA (325 nucleotides) under uncultured eukaryote. RNAcentral's name for it is "partial 18S ribosomal RNA". It matches the Rfam family "Eukaryotic small subunit ribosomal RNA", at positions 1470 to 1796 of the family's 1831-position model. The record is from RNAcentral.